GAUGAAGAACGUAGUGAAAUGCGAUAAGUAGUGUGAAUUGCAGAAUUCAGUGAAUCUUCGAAUCUUUGAACGCACAUUGCGCCCCAUGGUAUUCCGUGGGGCAUGCCUGUUCGAGCGUCAUUUACCCCCUCAAGCUCCGCUUGGUGUUGGGCGUCUGUCCCGCUUCGCGCGCGGACUCGCCCCAAAGGUAUUGGCAGCGGUCGUGCCAGCUUCUCGCGCAGCACAUUGCGCUUCUCGAGGCACCGGUGGGCCCGCGUCCAUCAAGCUCACCCCCCCAGUUUGACCUCGGAUCAGGUAGGGAUACCCGCUGAACUUAAGCAUAUCAAUAAGCGGAGGA
This 337-nucleotide unclassified non-coding RNA is filed under the name soil metagenome. RNAcentral describes it as "partial contains 5.8S ribosomal RNA, internal transcribed spacer 2, and large subunit ribosomal RNA". The stretch from base 1 to 120 matches the Rfam family "5.8S ribosomal RNA", at positions 35 to 154 of the family's 154-position model. The record is from RNAcentral.